GGCUCCAUAGAGUAGUGGUUAGCACGUCUGCUUUACACGCAGAAGGUCCUGGAUUUGCGCUCCAGGUGGAGCCG
Pteropus alecto (black flying fox) is the source of this 74-nucleotide non-coding RNA. The record is from Rfam. Lineage: Eukaryota; Metazoa; Chordata; Mammalia; Chiroptera; Pteropodidae.